ACAUCAUUCUCGGCCUUUUGGCUAAAAUCAAGCGUAGUACCUGUUCUUAUCAGUUUAAUAUCAGAUAUGUCCUCUAUCUGAGGACAGUAUAUUAAAUGGAUUUUUGGAACUAGGAGUUGGAACAUGAGCUUGCUGGACCUCCCCUCCAUGCAUUGACUUGGUAUUGCAGUUCCUCCAGGAAUGGUGCACUCACU
This is a small nuclear RNA of Rattus norvegicus (Norway rat), 194 nucleotides long. Ensembl annotates it as U2 spliceosomal RNA. Lineage: Eukaryota; Metazoa; Chordata; Mammalia; Rodentia; Muridae. The record is from Ensembl.